ACGGCGCACGGGUGCGUAACACGUGGGCAAUCUGCCCUUCGAUGGGGAAUAACUCCGGGAAACCGAAGCUAAUUCCGCAUAACAUUCCUUGGACUUCGGUUCGAGGACUCAAAGCCGUAAGGCGUCGAAGGAGGAGCCCGCGCACGAUUAGCUAGUUGGUAGGGUAACGGCCUACCAAGGCUUUGAUCGUUAGCUGGUCUGAGAGGAUGGCCAGCCACACUGGAACUGAGACACGGUCCAGACUCCUACGGGAGGCAGCAGUGGGGAAUCUUGCACAAUGGGCGAAAGCCUGAUGCAGCGACGCCGCGUGGGGGAUGAAGCAUUUCGGUGUGUAAACCCCUUUCGACCCGGACGAAUGCCUCGCAAGAGGAGUGACGGUACGGGUAUAAGAAGCCCCGGCUAACUACGUGCCAGCAGCCGCGGUAAGACGUAGGGGGCCAGCGUUGUUCGGAAUUACUGGGUGUAAAGGGUUCGUAGGCGGUGUGGCAAGUUGGGAGUGAAAUCUCUGGGCUCAACCCAGAGGCUGCUUCCAAAACUGCUGUGCUUGAGUGUGGGAGAGGCGCGUGGAAUUGCAGGUGUAGCGGUGAAAUGCGUAGAUAUCUGCAGGAACACCCGUGGCGAAAGCGGCGCGCUGGACCACAACUGACGCUGAGGAACGAAAGCUAGGGGAGCAAACAGGAUUAGAUACCCUGGUAGUCCUAGCCCUAAACGAUCAGGACUUGGGGUGCCGCACGUUCGUGCGUCGUCCCGGAGCUAACGCGUUAAGUCCUGCACCUGGGGAGUACGGUCGCAAGACUGAAACUCAAAGGAAUUGACGGGGGCCCGCACAAGCGGUGGAACAUGUGGUUCAAUUCGACGCUACGCGAGGAACCUUACCUGGGCUCGAAGCGCACCUGACUAGCUGUAGAAAUACGGCCUUCCCGCAAGGGACAGGUGUGGAGGCGCUGCAUGGCUGUCGUCAGCUCGUGCCGUGGGGUGUUGGGUUAAGUCCCGCAACGAGCGCAACCCCUGCACGUAGUUGCCACUCCGCAAGGAGGGAACU
Molecule: ribosomal RNA, 1042 nt
Filed under: uncultured bacterium
Lineage: Bacteria
Description: bacterial SSU rRNA
Rfam family: Bacterial small subunit ribosomal RNA
Source: RNAcentral